This 482-nucleotide ribosomal RNA is filed under the name uncultured bacterium. Its description in RNAcentral is "bacterial SSU rRNA". It matches the Rfam family "Bacterial small subunit ribosomal RNA", at positions 29 to 506 of the family's 1533-position model. The record is from RNAcentral.
UUGAACGCUGGCGGCAUGCUUUACACAUGCAAGUCGAACGGCAGCACGGGGGCAACCCUGGUGGCGAGUGGCGAACGGGUGAGUAAUGUAUCGGAACGUACCCAGUCGUGGGGGAUAACUAUCCGAAAGGAUAGCUAAUACCGCAUACGUCCUGAGGGAGAAAGCGGGGGAUCACAAGACCUCGCGCGAUUGGAGCGGCCGAUAUCGGAUUAGCUAGUUGGUGAGGUAAAGGCUCACCAAGGCGACGAUCCGUAGCGGGUCUGAGAGGACGACCCGCCACACUGGAACUGAGACACGGUCCAGACUCCUACGGGAGGCAGCAGUGGGGAAUUUUGGACAAUGGGCGAAACCCUGAUCCAGCCAUUCCGCGUGAGUGAAGAAGGCCUUCGGGUUGUAAAGCUCUUUCGGACGGAAAGAAACGGUCACGGCCAAUACCGGUGGCUAAUGACGGUACCGUCAGAAGAAGCACCGGCUAACUACGU